This 451-nucleotide ribosomal RNA is filed under the name uncultured bacterium. RNAcentral describes it as "partial 16S ribosomal RNA". It matches the Rfam family "Bacterial small subunit ribosomal RNA", at positions 354 to 796 of the family's 1533-position model. The record is from RNAcentral.
GUGGGGAAUAUUGGACAAUGGGCGCAAGCCUGAUCCAGCCAUGCCGCGUGUGUGAAGAAGGCCUUUUGGUUGUAAAGCACUUUAAGCGAGGAGGAGGCUACCGAGAUUAAUACUCUUGGAUAGUGGACGUUACUCGCAGAAUAAGCACCGGCUAACUCUGUGCCAGCAGCCGCGGUAAUACAGAGGGUGCAAGCGUUAAUCGGAUUUACUGGGCGUAAAGCGCGCGUAGGUGGCCAAUUAAGUCAAAUGUGAAAUCCCCGAGCUUAACUUGGGAAUUGCAUUCGAUACUGGUUGGCUAGAGUAUGGGAGAGGAUGGUAGAAUUCCAGGUGUAGCGGUGAAAUGCGUAGAGAUCUGGAGGAAUACCGAUGGCGAAGGCAGCAAUCUGGCCUAAUACUGACACUGAGGUGCGAAAGCAUGGGGAGCAAACAGGAUUAGAUACCCGGGUAGUCC